UACGGAGGGGGCUAGCGUUGUUCGGAAUUACUGGGCGUAAAGGGCGCGUAGGCGGCCUUCUAAGUCGAACGUGAAAUCCCCGGGCUCAACCCGGGAACUGCGUCCGAUACUGGAAGGCUUGAAUCCGGGAGAGGGAUGUGGAAUUCCAGGUGUAGCGGUGAAAUGCGUAGAUAUCGAGAGGAACACCUGCGGCGAAGGCGGGUUGCUGGGCUGACACUGACGCUGAGGCGCGAAAGCUAGGGGAGCGAACGGG
RNAcentral lists this ribosomal RNA (253 nucleotides) under uncultured bacterium. Its description in RNAcentral is "partial 16S ribosomal RNA". It matches the Rfam family "Bacterial small subunit ribosomal RNA", at positions 524 to 776 of the family's 1533-position model. The record is from RNAcentral.